This 408-nucleotide ribosomal RNA is filed under the name Bacillus sp. B3. RNAcentral describes it as "bacterial SSU rRNA". It matches the Rfam family "Bacterial small subunit ribosomal RNA", at positions 382 to 782 of the family's 1533-position model. The record is from RNAcentral. Lineage: Bacteria; Bacillati; Bacillota; Bacilli; Caryophanales; Bacillaceae.
UCUGACGGAGCAACGCCGCGUGAGUGAUGAAGGCUUUCGGGUCGUAAAACUCUGUUGUUAGGGAAGAACAAGUACGAGAGUAACUGCUCGUACCUUGACGGUACCUAACCAGAAAGCCACGGCUAACUACGUGCCAGCAGCCGCGGUAAUACGUAGGUGGCAAGCGUUAUCCGGAAUUAUUGGGCGUAAAGCGCGCGCAGGCGGUUUCUUAAGUCUGAUGUGAAAGCCCACGGCUCAACCGUGGAGGGUCAUUGGAAACUGGGGAACUUGAGUGCAGAAGAGAAAAGCGGAAUUCCACGUGUAGCGGUGAAAUGCGUAGAGAUGUGGAGGAACACCAGUGGCGAAGGCGGCUUUUUGGUCUGUAACUGACGCUGAGGCGCGAAAGCGUGGGGAGCAAACAGGAUUAGA